Molecule: ribosomal RNA, 466 nt
Filed under: uncultured bacterium
Lineage: Bacteria
Description: partial 16S ribosomal RNA
Rfam family: Bacterial small subunit ribosomal RNA
Source: RNAcentral
GAUGAACGCUGGCGGCGUGCUUAACACAUCCAAGUCGAACGAUGAAGCCCAGCUUGCUGGGUGGAUUAGUGGCGAACGGGUGAGUAACACGUGAGUAACCUGCCCUUAACUCUGGGAUAAGCCUGGGAAACUGGGUCUAAUACCGGAUAGGAGCGUCCACCGCAUGGUGGGUGUUGGAAAGAUUUAUCGGUUUUGGAUGGACUCGCGGCCUAUCAGCUUGUUGGUGAGGUAAUGGCUCACCAAGGCGACGACGGGUAGCCGGCCUGAGAGGGUGACCGGCCACACUGGGACUGAGACACGGCCCAGACUCCUACGGGAGGCAGCAGUGGGGAAUAUUGCACAAUGGGCGCAAGCCUGAUGCAGCGACGCCGCGUGAGGGAUGACGGCCUUCGGGUUGUAAACCUCUUUCAGUAGGGAAGAAGCGAAAGUGACGGUACCUGCAGAAGAAGCACCGGCUAACUACGUG